UACGUAGGGUGCGAGCGUUAUUCGGAAUUAUUGGGCGUAAAGGGCGUGUAGGCGGCCAGAUAAGUCAGAGGUGAAAGCCCGGGGCUCAACCCCGGAAGUGCCUUUGAAACUAUCUGGCUUGAGUGCGGGAGAGGAAAGCGGAAUUCCCAGUGUAGAGGUGAAAUUCGUAGAUAUUGGGAGGAACACCGGUGGCGAAGGCGGCUUUCUGGACCGACACUGACGCUGAGGCGCGAAAGCGUGGGGAGCAAACAGG
RNAcentral lists this ribosomal RNA (253 nucleotides) under uncultured bacterium. RNAcentral describes it as "partial 16S ribosomal RNA". It matches the Rfam family "Bacterial small subunit ribosomal RNA", at positions 524 to 776 of the family's 1533-position model. The record is from RNAcentral.